This 87-nucleotide transfer RNA is filed under the name Anaeromassilibacillus senegalensis. Its description in RNAcentral is "tRNA-Leu". It matches the Rfam family "tRNA". From Rfam's summary of the family: Transfer RNA (tRNA) molecules are approximately 80 nucleotides in length. Their secondary structure includes four short double-helical elements and three loops (D, anti-codon, and T loops). Further hydrogen bonds mediate the characteristic L-shaped molecular structure. tRNAs have two regions of fundamental functional importance: the anti-codon, which is responsible for specific mRNA codon recognition, and the 3' end, to which the tRNAs corresponding amino acid is attached (by aminoacyl-tRNA synthetases). tRNAs cope with the degeneracy of the genetic code in two manners: having more than one tRNA (with a specific anti-codon) for a particular amino acid; and 'wobble' base-pairing, i.e. permitting non-standard base-pairing at the 3rd anti-codon position. Lineage: Bacteria; Bacillati; Bacillota; Clostridia; Eubacteriales; Acutalibacteraceae. The record is from RNAcentral. RNAcentral also lists the same sequence under 2 other names.
GCCGCUAUGGUGGAAUUGGCAGACACAAAGGACUUAAAAUCCUUCGGAAGUGAUUCCGUACCGGUUCAAGUCCGGUUAGCGGCACCA